Molecule: ribosomal RNA, 401 nt
Filed under: uncultured prokaryote
Description: bacterial SSU rRNA
Rfam family: Bacterial small subunit ribosomal RNA
Source: RNAcentral
UGGGGAAUAUUGCACAAUGGGCGAAAGCCUGAUGCAGCAACGCCGCGUGAGCGAUGAAGGCCUUCGGGUCGUAAAGCUCUGUCCUCAAGGAAGAUAAUGACGGUACUUGAGGAGGAAGCCCCGGCUAACUACGUGCCAGCAGCCGCGGUAAUACGUAGGGGGCUAGCGUUAUCCGGAAUUACUGGGCGUAAAGGGUGCGUAGGUGGUUUCUUAAGUCAGAGGUGAAAGGCUACGGCUCAACCGUAGUAAGCCUUUGAAACUGGGAAACUUGAGUGCAGGAGAGGAGAGUGGAAUUCCUAGUGUAGCGGUGAAAUGCGUAGAUAUUAGGAGGAACACCAGUGGCGAAGGCGGCUUUCUGGCUCGUUACUGACGCUGAAGCGCGAAAGUGUGGGGAGCAAACA